Molecule: long non-coding RNA, 638 nt
Organism: Humulus lupulus (European hop)
Lineage: Eukaryota; Viridiplantae; Streptophyta; Magnoliopsida; Rosales; Cannabaceae
Exons: 2
Source: RefSeq, a predicted model, not a curated record
AUUCAGAUUUAGAGUAUAUAUGUGUACUAUUGUAAUUAAGUUCUUUUUUGUGAUUCAUUUUUUUACAUUCAUUGAUUUUGGUAUAUAUAUAAAUAUAUAUAUAAAUAUGUUUUUGUGUGAAAUUUCUUUCAGGUAUUAUUAUGGUAAAUUAUAUUUAUGGUAUUCAUUUUUUUUUGCCAAUGAUGUUAAAAUAAUGAGGAUGCUUAUUAUGUUGGUGAUUAUAGGACUUAUUGUGUUUUAUAUUUUUUAAAGGCAUACAAAGUGUCAUAAAUGCCCAUAAUAAGUCAUUCUUUUUUCUUUCUGAAAUCCUUAUGAUGAUUAAAUUGGGGGUAUUCUAUUAUUAAAUUGGGAAUUUUGUUAUACUGUAAUUCACAACAUCAUUAGUCUCCCAACCGUCUCAAAUCUUGUCGGCAUUCUUACAAGGGAAUAUCAUAGGACUGACUUUUAAGGUGGAUGCCUAGAUUUAUUAGGAAGAAUAUUGAGAAAAUAAACAUGAUUGAGUGUGCAGUGAUUUGGAGAAAGAAUUAUGUUGUCUUGUUGAGAUUUAUUGUAUUAUAUAUUUUUAAGUUUAUGGAUUUAUAAUAUUAUAAUGAAUUUUUAUUGAUAAUUAUUUAAUCUCAUGGGGAUUUUAUGUAUUA